GCUGGAGCUCGGACGCGAGUUC
Molecule: small nuclear RNA, 22 nt
Filed under: Arabidopsis thaliana (thale cress)
Lineage: Eukaryota; Viridiplantae; Streptophyta; Magnoliopsida; Brassicales; Brassicaceae
Description: snRNA_12184
Source: RNAcentral